RNAcentral lists this ribosomal RNA (468 nucleotides) under uncultured bacterium. Its description in RNAcentral is "partial 16S ribosomal RNA". It matches the Rfam family "Bacterial small subunit ribosomal RNA", at positions 28 to 507 of the family's 1533-position model. The record is from RNAcentral.
GACGAACGCUGGCGGCGUGCUUAACACAUGCCAGUCGAACGGAAAGGCCCUGCUUUUGUGGGGUGCUCGAGUGGCGAAAGGGUGAGUAACACGUGAGUAACCUGCCCUUGACUUUGGGAUAACUUCAGGAAACUGGGGCUAAUACCGGAUAGGAGCUCCUGCUGCAUGGUGGGGGUUGGAAAGUUUCGGCGGUUGGGGAUGGACUCGCGGCUUAUCAGCUUGUUGGUGGGGUAGUGGCUUACCAAGGCUUUGACGGGUAGCCGGCCUGAGAGGGUGACCGGCCACAUUGGGACUGAGGUACGGCCCAGACUCCUACGGGAGGCAGCAGUGGGGAAUAUUGCACAAUGGGCGGAAGCCUGAUGCAGCAACGCCGCGUGCGGGAUGACGGCCUUCGGGUUGUAAACCGCUUUCGCCUGUGACGAAGCGUGAGUGACGGUAAUGGGUAAAGAAGCACCGGCUAACUACGUG